GCGGCGUGCUNAUACAUGCAGUCGAGCGGACAGNAUGNGGAGCUUGCUCCCUGAUGUUAGCGGCGGACGGGUGAGUAACACGUGGGUAACCUGCCUGUAAGACUGGGAUAACUCCGGGAAACCGGGGCUAAUACCGGAUGCUUGAUUGAACCGCAUGGUUCAAUUAUAAAAGGUGGCUUUUAGCUACCACUUACAGAUGGACCCGCGGCGCAUUAGCUAGUUGGUGAGGUAACGGCUCACCAAGGCAACGAUGCGUAGCCAACCUGAGAGGGUGAUCGGCCACACUGGGACUGAAACACGGCCCAAACUCCUACGGGAGGCAGCAGUAGGGAAUCUUCCGCAAUGGACGAAAGUCUGACGGAGCAACGCCGCGUGAGUGAUGAAGGUUUUCGGAUCGUAAAACUCUGUUGUUAGGGAAAAACAAGUACCGUUCGAAUAGGGCGGUACCUUGACGGUACCUAACCAAAAAGCCACGGCUAACUACGUGCCAGCAGCCGCGGUAAUACGUAGGUGGCAAGCGUUGUCCGGAAUUAUUGGGCGUAAAGCGCGCGCAGGCGGUUUCUUAAGUCUGAUGUGNAAAGCCCCCGGCUCAACCGGGGAGGGUCAUUGGAAACUGGGGAACUUGAGUGCAAAAAAGGAGANGUGGAAUUCCACGUGUAGCGGUNGAAAUGCGUAAAGAUGUGGAGGAACACCAGUNGGCGAAGGCGACUNCUCUGGUCUGUAACUGACGCUGAGGCGCGAAAGNCGUNGGGGAGCGAACAGGAUUNAGAUACCCUGGUAGUCCACGCCGUAAACGAUGAGUGCUAAGUGUUAGAGGGUUUCCGCCCUUUAGUGCUGCAGCAAACGCAUUAAGCACUCCGCCUGGGGAGUACGGUCGCAAGACUGAAACUCAAAGGAAUUGACGGGGGCCCGCACAAGCGGUGGAGCAUGUGGUUUAAUUCGAAGCAACGCGAAGAACCUUACCAGGUCUUGACAUCCUCUGACAACCCUAGAGAUAGGGCUUCCCCUUCGGGGGCAGAGUGACAGGUGGUGCAUGGUUGUCGUCAGCUCGUGUCGUGAGAUGUUGGGUUAAGUCCCGCAACGAGCGCAACCCUUGAUCUUAGUUGCCAGCAUUCAGUUGGGCACUCUAAGGUGACUGCCGGUGACAAACCGGAGGAAGGUGGGGAUGACGUCAAAUCAUCAUGCCCCUUAUGACCUGGGCUACACACGUGCUACAAUGGGCAGAACAAAGGGCAGCGAAGCCGCGAGGCUAAGCCAAUCCC
RNAcentral lists this ribosomal RNA (1262 nucleotides) under uncultured Bacillus sp. RNAcentral describes it as "bacterial SSU rRNA". It matches the Rfam family "Bacterial small subunit ribosomal RNA", at positions 39 to 1275 of the family's 1533-position model. The record is from RNAcentral. Lineage: Bacteria; Bacillati; Bacillota; Bacilli; Caryophanales; Bacillaceae.